CACAACCUGCGCCCUGCUGUGUUUGUGCAGGUGGUGAGCGACAGCGACGACGAUGGUGAUGAUGACGAUGAUGAAGAUGAUGAUGAUGAUGAUGAAGACACCAGCUGCUCCGUGAGGUUCCGCAGAAGUUUGAUGCUGUACGGAGUCGGUGGGCAUUCGGACAGCAGCGGCUUCGUGGAGGAGCCCCUUCCUGAGCAGACAGACUGAGCCCAUCGGGGGUCUCCUGCCUGCACCACCUCCCCCCUUCUCCCACCCAACCGCUGCUCCGGCACCGGAGUGCAACAACGAGUGCAGGAAAGUUUGCACCGCUGCGCUUCAGGCGACGGAACCCAUCCUCAGCCCAGAGCUGAGCACCGUGUGGACACUUGUGUGUGUGUGUGUGUGUGUGCAAAUGCAUGCACAAGUAUGUUGGAUGCACCCAAAACUCAGGACUGGCACCUGCACCCUCCCCCUCCCCUCCUUCUCCCUCCUCUGCCCCUUUUCCUCGGGGCUUCACUUGCACUUUGGAGUUGGCUGCUCCCCCGGCGCUUGGAACACUAGGAUGGGGGUUUUGCUGGGGAAUAGCUGACAGCACACUGGAAAUAAAGGUCCCAAUGGGA
Long non-coding RNA from Lagopus leucura (white-tailed ptarmigan), 599 nucleotides. RefSeq lists it as uncharacterized. The transcript is spliced from 2 exons. The record is from RefSeq and is a predicted model, not a curated record. Lineage: Eukaryota; Metazoa; Chordata; Aves; Galliformes; Phasianidae.